This 2620-nucleotide ribosomal RNA is filed under the name Symphyocladiella dendroidea. RNAcentral's name for it is "large subunit ribosomal RNA". It matches the Rfam family "Bacterial large subunit ribosomal RNA". The record is from RNAcentral. Lineage: Eukaryota; Rhodophyta; Florideophyceae; Ceramiales; Rhodomelaceae.
AAGGUUAGGUUUUGAUUAAGGAAUUAAUUAAUUAUUUUUUAAAAAAGGCAUUUAAAGUAAAAAAUUGGUAAAAAUUAUAUAAAAAGGACGAGACGUUUCGAAAAUUAUGGUAAGGUUCAGACUUGUGACUCAUAAGUUUCCUAGUUAAAAAACAAAAUUUUUUAUUUAUUGUGAAUUGAAACAUCUUAGUAACAAUUAAAAUAAAUCAACCGAAAGAUUAUUAGUAACGGCGAGUGAACGUAAAGUUUAAGUAAAAAACCAUUAAUAAAAUUUUUAAGAAAUUUAUUUUACAAAAAAAGGUUUUUAGUCCUGUAAAAAAGAAUUAUUAAUGAUGUAAGGUAAGUAUGGUGAAAAAUAUAUCACAGGAAAAAAGGAGUACCACCUUCUAAACUUAAAAAUAUAAUUUAAUCGAUAGAAAACGAGUAUUGUAAAAUAAAUUUGAAAAAAUUUGAAAAAAUUUGAAAAAAUUUGAAUGUCUAAAUUAUUUACUUGAAGUAAAAAUAUACAACAAGAUGCUUUUUGCAGAACGAGUCAGUAAGUUAAGAGUUAUAGCAAAAAUUAUUAAAUAAAAAAAAUUAUAAAAGUUAUAGCUAUUAGACCUGAAACCAAGUGAUCUAAUUAUGAGUAAGUUGCUUUUAAUAUAAUAAUUAAUUAAAGACUGAACUUUUACAUGUGGCAAAAUGUAAAGAUAAUUUGUAAUUAGGAGUGAAAGGCUAAUCAAACUUGGUUAUAGCCGGUUUUUCACGAAAUGUAUUUUAGUACAGCAUCAUUUAAUGUUUUAUUAAUGUAAAGUAAAAAAUUUUUCAAGUAAAUUUUUAACUUAAAAAUUAAUAAUUUUUCUUAAGGAAUAAUGAUAGUCAGUCGUAAAGCGAAAAGGUUUUAUGACAAAAGGAAAACAAUCCAGAUCGUGUGUUAAGGUAUUAAAUUAUACAUAAUGAAAAAGGUUUUAAAAUAUUUAAAUAUUUUAAAUAGGCUUAGAAGCAGUUUUUUAUUUGAGAAAGCGUUUUAGCUCAUUGUUUUUUUUAUAAAACUAAAAAUUUUAGAUAUAAAUGUAUAAACCGAUACAGCGAAUAUAUGUAAUAAAUAUAUGGUAGUGAAACGUUUUGUUAGUUAUUAAAAAAAGAGUAAUCAUUAUAAUAGAUAAUACAAAAAAGCGAAUGCUGACAUGAGUAACGAAAAUUAUGUUAAAAAUCAUAAUCAUAAAAAAAUAGGUUUUCAAUGUACUUUAAAAUUCAUUGAGUGAGUCGGUUCUUAAAAUUUUUUACUAAAUAGUUAUUUUGAUAGAUAAUAAAUUAAAAUUAAUUUUAUACUAAUUGUAUGUUAAUUAACAUAAAAAAGAAGAUUGUUAAUUUUUUAAAAUGUUAUAAAUAAAUUAAGAAUUAAACAAAAUUCUCAAGAAAAAAGCAAGUAAAAUAAACCGUACUAAAUCCGACGCAGGUUUUUUUAUAUGAGUGAAAAAAUUAUAUUAAAGGAACUUGGCAAAUUAAUCUCGUAUGUUAGCUAAAAGAGAUGUCUAUGAAAAUUUUAUUAAUAAAAAGUAGAUAACAUAAACAAAAAAGCAACGACUGGUUACCAAAACCACAGGACUCUGCCAAUUAUAAAAAGAUGUAUAGAGUUUGAAGCCUGCCCAGUACUUAAAAAUGAAAUAUAAAGAUUAAAAAACUUAAUAAUAAGUUUAAGUAAACGGCGGUUCUAACUAUAAGAAUCCUCAGGUAGCGAAAUUCCUUGGCGGGUAAAUUCCGUCCUGCAUGAAUGGCUUAACGAUUGCUUUACUGUCUCUAAUAUAAAUUCAGUGAAAUUACAAUAUUCAUGAAAAUGUGAAUUUUUUACAAUAAGACGGAAAGACCCUAGAUCCUUUACUUUUAUUUUAUAUUGUGAGUAGAUUUAUUAUUUAAGUAGAAUAAAUGGGAGUAAAAAACUUUUUUGAAAUACCAUUUUAUGAUGUUUAUAACUAACUUAAAUUUUUUUAAAGAAAGUGUAAAAAAGAAAGUUUACUUGGGAUGAGUACCUCCUAAAAAGUAACGGAGGUGUGCAAAAGUAAAAAUCAAAAAGAAGCGUAAUAGUUAAUUUUUGCUUGAUAAUAAAAUUAAUAAAUUAAAUUAGGACGAAAGUCAGUUAUAAUGACCCGAAUUUAAGAGUGGAAUUAAAUUCGUUUAGCAAAUAAAAGGAACUCUAGGGAUAACAGAUUCAUCAUGAUUAAAAGUUCGUAUUGAAAUCAUGGUUUGAUACCUCGAUGUCGACUCAUCUUAUCCUGAAAUUGAAAUUAAUUUCAAGGGUCUAGUUGUUCGCUAGUUAAAAAGGUACGUGAGUUGGGUUCAGAACGUCGUGAGACAGUUCGGUCCCUAUCUAUUGUAAAUUAAAAGAAUUAAAAGAAUUAUUUUUAGUACGAGAGGACCAAAAUAUAUUAACCACUGGUAAAUUGAUUAAAAUUAUUAUUAUUUUAUGUCAAGUAGCUACGUUAGUUUAAUUUAAAUACUGAAAGAAUCAAUAGUAUAAAAAAAACUUUUAAAUUUUUUUGAGCAUUCUUUUCGAAAAAAAGAUAGAUCGAUCUAAUUUUAAUUUUUAGUAAUAAAACAAUUAUAGAUACGAAUUAGUCAGAAAAAUUAAUUAACUUAAUCAA